RNAcentral lists this ribosomal RNA (122 nucleotides) under Kiritimatiellia bacterium. Its description in RNAcentral is "Kiritimatiellae bacterium (gut metagenome) partial 16S ribosomal RNA". It matches the Rfam family "Bacterial small subunit ribosomal RNA", at positions 1398 to 1533 of the family's 1533-position model. Lineage: Bacteria; Pseudomonadati; Kiritimatiellota; Kiritimatiellia. The record is from RNAcentral.
CACAUCAUGAAAGCCGUCUGCACCCGAAGUCGGGCAUUUGUCCGCCUAAGGUGUGGGUGGUGAUUGGGAUGAAGUCGUAACAAGGUAACCGUUGGGGAACCAGCGGUUGGAUCACCUCCUUU